This 465-nucleotide ribosomal RNA is filed under the name Vreelandella stevensii. RNAcentral's name for it is "partial 16S ribosomal RNA". It matches the Rfam family "Bacterial small subunit ribosomal RNA", at positions 338 to 795 of the family's 1533-position model. The record is from RNAcentral. Lineage: Bacteria; Pseudomonadati; Pseudomonadota; Gammaproteobacteria; Oceanospirillales; Halomonadaceae.
CCUACGGGUGGCAGCAGUGGGGAAUAUUGGACAAUGGGCGAAAGCCUGAUCCAGCCAUGCCGCGGGUGUGAAGAAGGCCUUCGGGGUGUAAAGCACUUUCAGUGGGGAAGAAAGCCUUGGGGCUAAUACCCUCGAGGAAGGACAUCACCCACAGAAGAAGCACCGGCUAACUCCGUGCCAGCAGCCGCGGUAAUACGGAGGGUGCGAGCGUUAAUCGGAAUUACUGGGCGUAAAGCGCGCGUAGGCGGUCUGAUAAGCCGGUUGUGAAAGCCCCGGGCUCAACCUGGGAACGGCAUUCGGAACUGUCAGGCUAGAGUGCAGUAGAGGAAGGUAGAAUUCCCGGUGUAGCGGUGAAAUGCGUAGAGAUCGGGAGGAAUACCAGUGGCGAAGGCGGCCUUCUGGACUGACACUGACGCUGAGGUGCGAAAGCGUGGGUAGCAAACAGGAUUAGAUACCCUAGUAGUC